Molecule: long non-coding RNA, 1278 nt
Filed under: Pan troglodytes (chimpanzee)
Lineage: Eukaryota; Metazoa; Chordata; Mammalia; Primates; Hominidae
Description: lincRNA
Source: RNAcentral
GCGGCCGCCAGGAUGUGCCCCCGGCCCCGUCGUCGCGGCGCCCGCGCCCCUCGCCCCAGUACGUCUUUUUUCGUUUCCUAAAUUUCUUAUUUUUGUCCUUGCAAGUGGCCCUGUCUGGUGUGAACCGUCAGCACAGAUGGCCUCCUGGAGCUUCCCCGAGUCGUUCGCUGGGGGAAGCGGGCGGUGAGCGGCCGGCCCGGGCGCUCCGCAGGCCGCGAGCUCCUGGCAGGGCUGGUGGCGGGGGUCCGCCUGGGGGAGGAAUCCCCGCCUGCUCCAUCGGACCCGGCCUGGCGCGGCUCGCGGCGCUCGGCGGGCUCCCUUCCAUUCUAGAAUCUUCCCGCUUGCUUCCCAGCCCGCGUUCUUCCGCCUGCCUUUAAUUGUGUGUGGACGUGGGGAGGAUCUUCUAAGUCCCUCCAACGAAGGCAAGUGUGAGACUCUGGCCCUUUAUUUGUAAGAAGCAAGCCUUCAGAUUGCAGAAGUGUCGCGCGGGUCGCCAUGCGUUGCGCGAGUGGGAAGAUGGAGGAGGCCGGCACGCUGCUUUCGUGGACGCAAGUGAACCGGCCGUGAAGGCAGGGUGCGAGCUCUGCCCUUGGCCCAGCCCUGCGUGGGCGCCGUCCCAGAUUCCGGGCGGUGCGGGGUGCAGAGAUCUGGAGAGAGUUGCGGGGUGCAGAGAUCUGGAGAGACUUGCGGGCUCCCCAGCGCAGGCUGCUCUGGGAUUUCGUUGGAAGAUCCGGCAGAGCCUUGGAGGAGAGGGCCCGGGAGGCUGUGUGUGCAGCGGAAACUUGUACGAAUGCCCCCACAGCGGAAAUGGUGCGCACGAGUAAUUUCUGCGGUGCACCCUUUUAAAAAUUGACAAGUGAACAAGAUCAAUUUUUUAAGAAAGCAAAGGUAGAAAACAAAAGGCGUGCGACUUCUUGACUGGCUUGUUCCCGCCUUUCUUCCUUCUCUAUACUCAGAUCAGAAACUUUAAUUGCUCUUAUUCAGUGCGACAACUUUUAAUAAAAGCAUUUGCAUUUUAAGCCUGAGUUGCAACCAUAGAUUUGUUGCGAAGUGACAACGUGUCUAUGGAAUAUUUUCGCAGAUGAGACAGGACAUGCGCUCUAGUCGUGCCCAGAUUAAAGGGACGCUGGUCCAUGUGCCUGUGUAGUGCAGACUCGGAGGGGCACACACAUACUCGUCAUCACAUGACCACUGUCUAUUAAUAUUGUCAUACCUAAACACUCGCAAAAACAAAAGUUGCUUUUCUUCCCUGUAAUUAAAUCUAAUUUGUUAAUUGUC